This 899-nucleotide ribosomal RNA is filed under the name Akanthomyces lecanii. Its description in RNAcentral is "partial large subunit ribosomal RNA". It matches the Rfam family "Eukaryotic large subunit ribosomal RNA", at positions 38 to 963 of the family's 3401-position model. Lineage: Eukaryota; Fungi; Ascomycota; Sordariomycetes; Hypocreales; Cordycipitaceae. The record is from RNAcentral.
GCAUAUCAAUAAGCGGAGGAAAAGAAACCAACAGGGGAUUGCCCCAGUAACGGCGAGUGAAGCGGCAACAGCUCAAAUUUGAAAUCUGGCCCUUCGGGUCCGAGUUGUAAUUUGUAGAGGAUGCUUUUGGCGAGGUGCCUUCCGAGUUCCCUGGAACGGGACGCCAUAGAGGGUGAGAGCCCCGUCUGGUCGGACUCCCGAGCCUCUGUAAAGCUCCUUCGACGAGUCGAGUAGUUUGGGAAUGCUGCUCAAAAUGGGAGGUAUAUGUCUUCUAAAGCUAAAUAUUGGCCAGAGACCGAUAGCGCACAAGUAGAGUGAUCGAAAGAUGAAAAGCACUUUGAAAAGAGGGUUAAAAAGUACGUGAAAUUGUUGAAAGGGAAGCGCCUAUGACCAGACUUGGGCCCGGUGAAUCAUCCAGCGUUCUCGCUGGUGCACUUUGCCGGGCACAGGCCAGCAUCAGUUUGGCGCGGGGGAAAAAGGCUUUGGGAAUGUGGCUCCCUCGGGAGUGUUAUAGCCCAUUGUGUAAUACCCUGCGCCGGACUGAGGUACGCGCUUUGCAAGGAUGCUGGCGUAAUGGUCAUCAGCGACCCGUCUUGAAACACGGACCAAGGAGUCGUCUUCGUAUGCGAGUGUUCGGGUGUCAAACCCCUACGCGUAAUGAAAGUGAACGCAGGUGAGAGCUUCGGCGCAUCAUCGACCGAUCCUGAUGUUCUCGGAUGGAUUUGAGUAAGAGCAUACGGGGCCGGACCCGAAAGAAGGUGAACUAUGCCUGUAUAGGGUGAAGCCAGAGGAAACUCUGGUGGAGGCUCGCAGCGGUUCUGACGUGCGAAUCGAUCGUCAAAUAUGGGCAUGGGGGGCGAAAGACUAAUCGAACCUUUCUAGUAGCUGGGUUUCCGCCG